GCACAAGCGGUGGAGUAUGUGGUUAAUCGAUGCAACGCGAAGAACCUUACCUGGUCUUGACAUCCCGGAGACCCUUAGGAAACUAGGGGGUGCUUCCAUCUGGAAGAAUCUGGAGACAGGUGCUGCAUGGCUGUCGUCAGCUCGUGUCGUGAGAUGUUGGGUUAAGUCCCGCAACGAGCGCAACCCUUGCCUUUAGUUGCCAGCAGUUCGGCUGGGCACUCUAAAGGGACUGCCGGUGUUAAACCGGAGGAAGGUGGGGAUGACGUCAAGUCCUCAUGGCCUUUAUGACCAGGGCUACACACGUACUACAAUGGCCGAUACAAAGGGCAGCGACACUGCGAGGUGAAGCCAAUCCCGUAAAAUCGGUCUCAGUCCGGAUUGGAGUCUGCAACUCGACUCCAUGAAGUUGGAAUCGCUAGUAAUCGUGGAUCAGCAUGCCACGGUGAAUACGUUCCCGGGCCUU
RNAcentral lists this ribosomal RNA (463 nucleotides) under uncultured Desulfobulbus sp. RNAcentral's name for it is "bacterial SSU rRNA". It matches the Rfam family "Bacterial small subunit ribosomal RNA", at positions 923 to 1382 of the family's 1533-position model. Lineage: Bacteria; Pseudomonadati; Thermodesulfobacteriota; Desulfobulbia; Desulfobulbales; Desulfobulbaceae. The record is from RNAcentral.